This 460-nucleotide ribosomal RNA is filed under the name uncultured bacterium. Its description in RNAcentral is "partial 16S ribosomal RNA". It matches the Rfam family "Bacterial small subunit ribosomal RNA", at positions 338 to 795 of the family's 1533-position model. The record is from RNAcentral.
CCUACGGGAGGCUGCAGUGAGGAAUAUUGGUCAAUGGACGAGAGUCUGAACCAGCCAAGUAGCGUGAAGGAUGACUGCCCUAUGGGUUGUAAACUUCUUUUAUAUGGGAAUAAAACGUUCCACGUGUGGGAUUUUGUAUGUACCAUAUGAAUAAGGAUCGGCGAACUCCGUGCCAGCAGCCGCGGUAAUACGGAGGAUCCGAGCUUUAUCCGGAUUUAUUGGGUUUAAAGGGAGCGUAGGUGGAUUGUUAAGUCAGUUGUGAAAGUGUGCGGCUCAACCGUAAAAUUGCAGUUGAAACUGGCAGUCUUGAGUACAGUAGAGGUGGGCGGAAUUCCUUGUGUAGCGGUGAAAUGCGUAGAUAUAAGGAAGAACACCAGUGGCGAAGGCGGAUGACUGGACGGCAACUGACGGUGAGGCGCGAAAGCGUGGGGAGCAAACAGGAUUAGAUACCCGAGUAGUC